Molecule: non-coding RNA, 123 nt
Organism: Picea glauca (white spruce)
Lineage: Eukaryota; Viridiplantae; Streptophyta; Pinopsida; Pinales; Pinaceae
Source: Rfam
CCUGAUGUACAUUCCUAUAGUGAUAAUGCACCAUAUCCCAUUAGGACUCCGUAGUUAAGAGCAGUUGGGCUAGAGUAGUAUUGGGAUGGGUGAACUCCUGAGAAGUCCUAGUGUCUUACAUGC